This 520-nucleotide ribosomal RNA is filed under the name Papilio hopponis. RNAcentral's name for it is "partial 16S ribosomal RNA". The stretch from base 396 to 520 matches the Rfam family "Bacterial large subunit ribosomal RNA", at positions 2473 to 2598 of the family's 2925-position model. The record is from RNAcentral. Lineage: Eukaryota; Metazoa; Arthropoda; Insecta; Lepidoptera; Papilionidae.
AAACAUGUCUUUUUGAAAAUAAUUUAAAGUUUAAUCUGCCCCCUGAUNAAAUUAUUAAAGGGCUGCAGUAUUUUGACUGUACAAAGGUAGCAUAAUCAUUAGUCUCUUAAUUGGUGACUUGUAUGAAAGAUUGGAUGAAAUAUAUACUGUCUCUAUUUAAUUUAUAAAAUUUAAUUUUUUAGUAAAAAAGCUAAAAUGAGUUUGAAAGACGAGAAGACCCUAUAGAGUUUAAUAUUUUAUUUAAUUAUUAUUAAUAUAUAAAUUUUAAAAUUAAAAUUAAAUAAAUUAUUUUGUUGGGGUGAUAGAAAAAUUAAAUUAACUUUUUUUUUAUUUUAUACAUUAAUUUAUGAAUAAAUGAUCCAUUAAUAAUGAUUAAAAGAAAAAAUUACCUUAGGGAUAACAGCGUAAUUUUUUUUUUUAGUUCAAAUAGGAAAAAAAGUUUGCGACCUCGAUGUUGGAUUAAGAUAAAAUUUAAAUGCAAAAGUUUAAAAUUUUGAUCUGUUCGAUCAUUAAAAUCUUA